Molecule: ribosomal RNA, 403 nt
Filed under: bacterium
Lineage: Bacteria
Description: partial 16S ribosomal RNA
Rfam family: Bacterial small subunit ribosomal RNA
Source: RNAcentral
UGGGGAAUAUUGCACAAUGGGGGAAACCCUGAUGCAGCGACGCCGCGUGAACGAAGAAGGUAUUCGUAUCGUAAAGUUCUGUCCUAUGGGAAGAUAGUAACAGUACCAUAGAAGAAAGCUCCGGCUAAAUACGUGCCAGCAGCCGCGGUAAUACGUAUGGAGCGAGCGUUGUCCGGAAUUAUUGGGCGUAAAGGGUACGCAGGCGGUUUAAUAAGUCGAAUGUUAAAGAUCGGGGCUCAACCCCGUAAAGCAUUGGAAACUGAUAAACUUGAGUAGUGGAGAGGAAAGUGGAAUUCCUAGUGUAGUGGUGAAAUACGUAGAUAUUAGGAGGAAUACCAGUAGCGAAGGCGACUUUCUGGACACAAACUGACGCUGAGGUACGAAAGCGUGGGGAGCAAACAGG